Molecule: ribosomal RNA, 492 nt
Filed under: uncultured bacterium
Lineage: Bacteria
Description: partial 16S ribosomal RNA
Rfam family: Bacterial small subunit ribosomal RNA
Source: RNAcentral
AGUGAACGCUGGCGGCAGGCCUAACACAUGCAAGUCGAACGGCAGCACAGUAAGAGCUUGCUCUUACGGGUGGCGAGUGGCGGACGGGUGAGGAAUACAUCGGAAUCUACUUUUUCGUGGGGGAUAACGUAGGGAAACUUACGCUAAUACCGCAUACGACCUACGGGUGAAAGCAGGGGAUCUUCGGACCUUGCGCGAUUGAAUGAGCCGAUGUCGGAUUAGCCAGUUGGCGGGGUAAAGGCCCACCAAGGCGACGAUCCGUAGCUGGUCUGAGAGGAUGAUCAGCCACACUGGAACUGAGACACGGUCCAGACUCCUACGGGAGGCAGCAGUGGGGAAUAUUGGACAAUGGGCGCAAGCCUGAUCCAGCCAUACCGCGUGGGUGAAGAAGGCCUUCGGGUUGUAAAGCCCUUUUGUUGGGAAAGAAAAGCAGCAGGUUAAUACCCCGCUGUUCUGACGGUACCCAAAGAAUAAGCACCGGCUAACUUCGUG